UAAUACGGAGGGUCCAAGCGUUGUCCGGAUUUAUUGGGUUUAAAGAGUGCGUAGGUGGUUUAUUAAGUCAGUGGUGAAAUCCUGCAGCUCAACUGUAGAACUGCCAUUGAAACUGAUAAACUUGAGUUUGGUUUAGGUAAGUGGAAUUUAUGAUGUAGCGGUGAAAUGCAUAGAUAUCAUAAGGAACACCAAUAGCGAAGGCAGCUUACUGGACCAUAACUGACACUGAGGCACGAAAGCGUGGGUAGCGAACAGGAUUAGAUACCCUGGUAGUCCACGCCGUAAACGAUGCCCACUCGAUGUUAGCGAUAUACUGUUAGCGUCCAAGCUAAAGCGUUAAGUGAGCCACCUGGGGAGUACGCCGGCAACGGUG
This 373-nucleotide ribosomal RNA is filed under the name uncultured Bacteroidota bacterium. RNAcentral's name for it is "bacterial SSU rRNA". It matches the Rfam family "Bacterial small subunit ribosomal RNA", at positions 521 to 896 of the family's 1533-position model. The record is from RNAcentral. Lineage: Bacteria; Pseudomonadati; Bacteroidota.